This 478-nucleotide ribosomal RNA is filed under the name uncultured bacterium. RNAcentral's name for it is "partial 16S ribosomal RNA". It matches the Rfam family "Bacterial small subunit ribosomal RNA", at positions 28 to 523 of the family's 1533-position model. The record is from RNAcentral.
GACGAACGCUGGCGGCGUGCUUAACACAUGCAAGUCGAACGGUAAGGCCCUUCGGGGUACACGAGUGGCGAACGGGUGAGUAACACGUGGGUGAUCUGCCCUGCACUUCGGGAUAAGCCUGGGAAACUGGGUCUAAUACCGGAUAGGACCACUGCCUGCAUGGGUGGUGGUGGAAAGCUUUUGCGGUGUGGGAUGGGCCCGCGGCCUAUCAGCUUGUUGGUGGGGUGAUGGCCUACCAAGGCGACGACGGGCAGCCGGCCUGAGAGGGUGAACGGCCAGACUGGGACUGAGAUACGGCACAGACUGCUACGGGAGGCAGCAGUGGGGAAUAUUGCACAAUGGGCGCAAGCCUGAUGCAGCGACGCCGCGUGAGGGAUGACGGCCUUCGGGUUGUAAACCUCUUUCAGCACCGACGAAGCGCAAGUGACGGUAGGUGCAGAAGAAGGACCGGCCAACUACGUGCCAGCCGCCGCGGUAA